This 260-nucleotide long non-coding RNA is filed under the name Musa acuminata (dwarf banana). RNAcentral describes it as "long non-coding RNA (MACU_LNC011284)". The record is from RNAcentral. Lineage: Eukaryota; Viridiplantae; Streptophyta; Magnoliopsida; Zingiberales; Musaceae.
AUCAGAAGCUUUCCCAUAGGAGUGGAAGUUAAUGCGCUCGAUCGGACCUGCUUAUACAAAUACUUACUAGAUCAUACCUGCUCGCUACAUCGUACCUUUGUGUUUGCUAUGACUGAUUCCGGUCAUAACCCUACUUGUUAACUCUACUGAAGCUAUGACUGAUAUGACUGAUAUGACAGAUUGUAGUGGUGGACCUCUGAGUUCAAUUAAUUACCAUUCAAUAGCGGCAGGAGCGGGGCUUACUGGUAGAACAAAGGACU